Molecule: ribosomal RNA, 301 nt
Filed under: uncultured bacterium
Lineage: Bacteria
Description: partial 16S ribosomal RNA
Rfam family: Bacterial small subunit ribosomal RNA
Source: RNAcentral
CAGCAGCCGCGGGAAUACGAAGGGUGCAAGCGUUACUCGGAAUUACUGGGCGUAAAGCGUGUGUAGGUGGUUGUUUAAGUCUGUCGUGAGAGCCCUGGGCUCAACCUGGGAAUUGCGAUGGAUACUGGGCGACUAGAGUGCGGUAGAGGAUAGUGGAAUUUCCGGUGUAGCAGUGAAAUGCGUAGAGAUCGGAAGGAACAUCUGUGGCGAAGGCGACUAUCUGGGCCAACACUGACACUGAGACACGAAAGCGUGGGGAGCAAACAGGAUUAGAUACCCCCGUAGUCCCUGUCUCUUACAC